UGGGGGAUAUUGCACAAUGGGCGAAAGCCUGAUGCAGCGACGCCGCGUGGGGGAUGAAGGCCUUCGGGUUGUAAACUUCUUUUGCUCGGAACAAGGCAUGCCUUUGGGGUGUGUUGAGCGUAGGGGUUGAUUAGCUCCGGCUAACUACGUGCCAGCAGCCGCGCUAAUACGCAGGGCGCUAGCGUUGUCCGGAAUUAUUGGGCGUAAAGGGCUUGUAGGUGGCUGGUUGCGUCUGUCGUGAAAGCUCAUGGCUUAACUGUGGGUUUGCGGUGGGUACGUGGUGGCUUGAGUGCAGGAGGGGAGGCUGGAAUUCCUGGUGUAGCGGGGGAAUGCGCAGAUAUCAGGAGGAAGACCGGUGGCGAAGGCGGGGCUCUGGGCUGUUACUGACGCUGAGGAGCGAAAGCGUGGGGAGCGAACAGG
Molecule: ribosomal RNA, 420 nt
Filed under: Fusobacteriota bacterium
Lineage: Bacteria; Fusobacteriati; Fusobacteriota
Description: Fusobacteria bacterium partial 16S ribosomal RNA
Rfam family: Bacterial small subunit ribosomal RNA
Source: RNAcentral